AACCUCUUUUAUCAAGGAAGAAGAUCUGACGGUACUUGAUGAAUAAGCCACGGCUAAUUCCGUGCCAGCAGCCGCGGUAAUACGGGAGAGGCAAGCGUUAUCCGGAAUUAUUGGGCGUAAAGCGUCCGCAGGCGGCCUUUUAAGUCUGUUGUCAAAGCGUGGAGCUUAACUCCAUUUCGGCAAUGGAAACUGGGAGGCUUGAGUGUGGUAGGGGCAGAGGGAAUUCCCGGUGUAGCGGUGAAAUGCGUAGAUAUCGGGAAGAACACCAGUGGCGAAGGCGCUCUGCUGGGCCAUAACUGACGCUCAUGGACGAAAGCCAGGGGAGCGAAAGGGAUUA
Molecule: ribosomal RNA, 337 nt
Filed under: uncultured Cyanobium sp.
Lineage: Bacteria; Bacillati; Cyanobacteriota; Cyanophyceae; Synechococcales; Prochlorococcaceae
Description: bacterial SSU rRNA
Rfam family: Bacterial small subunit ribosomal RNA
Source: RNAcentral